This 199-nucleotide long non-coding RNA is filed under the name Carica papaya (papaya). RNAcentral describes it as "long non-coding RNA (CPAP_LNC003313)". The record is from RNAcentral. Lineage: Eukaryota; Viridiplantae; Streptophyta; Magnoliopsida; Brassicales; Caricaceae.
UCAAGUCUUUAUUGACAAGGAUUGUCCUCAUUAAGUGCACACUUAACAAGUCUUUACAUGCUCGCAAAUAAGCUCUUCGUGUUUGGUUUAAGCAAUUAAACGCCUUUUAGGCAUUAUAUUGGUUUUUGACCUUCUCGAGCUUACAUAUCUUUUUUCAUUUUUUUAGAAUUUUAAAACUAUACUUUGUAUUUGUUUAUUU